Molecule: ribosomal RNA, 119 nt
Organism: Lepisosteus oculatus (spotted gar)
Lineage: Eukaryota; Metazoa; Chordata; Actinopteri; Semionotiformes; Lepisosteidae
Source: Ensembl
GCCAGCAGCCAUAUCACCCUGUAGCUCACAACGGGCAACCCACUGAAGCCAAACAGGUAUGAGCCUGGUCAGUACCUGGAUGGGAGACCUCCUGGGAAAAACUAAGGUUGCUGCUGGAA